CAUUCGGAGCCUAAAAUGGUGUG
RNAcentral lists this non-coding RNA (23 nucleotides) under Arabidopsis thaliana (thale cress). Lineage: Eukaryota; Viridiplantae; Streptophyta; Magnoliopsida; Brassicales; Brassicaceae. The record is from RNAcentral.